AAGAGGGGAGACGCACAUUGUUGUGCAAUAAAGACAAGACAAACAAGAAGUUGUAUGAGCCGACAUUCCUGGGAUAUUACAAUAAGCACAAUUGACCAAACAAGUUGACACAUAUUUUCUUAUUUUUAUAUUAUCAUUCAAAUAGUUAAAAUAAAAUAAAAAAAUUCUAAUGUUUCCUACUAUCAGUGUUCAAGAUGUUUUUUUGUUUUUUUUUAUAUAGUGACUCCAGCCCGCAUGGACGUAACAUCACCAUCUUCUCUCAGUACACGAUCUUUGGUCCUGCACAGCCCGCUACAACUCCAACAAGGUUGAAGGUGUGCAGCCAGUCUUCAAAGUUGCCGUAUUCUGUUUCCAGCUCCUUGUUGUACACCUGAGCAAGUCAACAAAACACACAUGAUGCUGAGAUAAAGGUGCACAGCCGGACCAGUUCCAUACCUGCAGCCUCUAUUGCAAUCUCCAGGUCUUCUCUCUCCUCUGCUUCAGCCUGAGCUUCUUCCUGAGCCCUGAGUGUCUAAAAAGACAUUUUAUUCAUCCUCCU
This is a long non-coding RNA of Nerophis lumbriciformis (worm pipefish), 538 nucleotides long. RefSeq lists it as uncharacterized. Lineage: Eukaryota; Metazoa; Chordata; Actinopteri; Syngnathiformes; Syngnathidae. The record is from RefSeq and is a predicted model, not a curated record.